Molecule: ribosomal RNA, 468 nt
Filed under: uncultured bacterium
Lineage: Bacteria
Description: partial 16S ribosomal RNA
Rfam family: Bacterial small subunit ribosomal RNA
Source: RNAcentral
GACGAACGCUGGCGGCGUGCUUAAUACAUGCAAGUCGAACGGAAAGGCCCUGCUUUUGUGGGGUGCUCGAGUGGCGAACGGGUGAGUAACACGUGAGUAACCUGCCCUUGACUUUGGGAUAACAUCAGGAAACUGGGGCUAAUAUCGGAUAGGAGCUCCUGCUGCAUGGUGGGGGAUGGAAAGUUUCGGCGGUUGUGGCUGGACUCGCGGCUUAUCAGCUUGUUGGUGAGGUAGGUGCUUUCCAAGGCUUUGACGGGUAGCCGGCCUGGGAGGGUUACCGGCCACAAUGGGACUAAGGGACGGAGCAGACUGCUACGGGAGGCAGCAGUGGGGAGUAUUGCGCAAUGGGCGGGAGCCUGAUGCAGAAACGCCGCGUGCGGGAUGACGGCCUUCGGGUUGUAAACAGCUUUCGACUGUGACGAAGCGAGAGUGACGGUAAUGGGUAAAGAAGCACCGGCUAACUACGUG